RNAcentral lists this ribosomal RNA (279 nucleotides) under uncultured bacterium. RNAcentral's name for it is "partial 16S ribosomal RNA". It matches the Rfam family "Bacterial small subunit ribosomal RNA", at positions 506 to 784 of the family's 1533-position model. The record is from RNAcentral.
UGCCAGCAGCCGCGGUAAUACUGAAGGUGCGAGCGUUAAUCGGAAUCACUGGGCGUAAAGCGUACGUAGGCGGCGUAUCAAGUCAGGCGUGAAAGCCCUCGGCUCAACCGAGGAAUUGCGUUUGAAACUGGUAUGCUAGAGUCUCGGAGAGGUUGGCGGAAUUCCAGGUGUAGGAGUGAAAUCCGUAGAUAUCUGGAGGAACACCGGUGGCGAAGGCGGCCAACUGGAACGAGUACUGACGCGAAGGAAGGAAAGCGUGGGAAGCAACAGGAUUAGAUA